AACGAACGCUGGCGGCAUGCCUAACACAUGCAAGUCGAACGAUGCCUUCGGGCAUAGUGGCGCACGGGUGCGUAACGCGUGGGAAUCUGCCUUUCGGUUCGGAAUAACUCAGGGAAACUUGAGCUAAUACCGGAUAACGUCGCAAGACCAAAGAUUUAUCACCGAAAGAUGAGCCCGCGUAGGAUUAGCUAGUUGGUGAGGUAAAGGCUCACCAAGGCGACGAUCCUUAGCUGGUCUGAGAGGAUGAUCAGCCACACUGGGACUGAGACACGGCCCAGACUCCUACGGGAGGCAGCAGUGGGGAAUAUUGGACAAUGGGCGAAAGCCUGAUCCAGCAAUGCCGCGUGAGUGAUGAAGGCCUUAGGGUUGUAAAGCUCUUUUACCCGGGAAGAUAAUGACGGUACCGGAAGAAUAAGCCCCGGCUAACUCCGUG
This 433-nucleotide ribosomal RNA is filed under the name uncultured bacterium. Its description in RNAcentral is "partial 16S ribosomal RNA". It matches the Rfam family "Bacterial small subunit ribosomal RNA", at positions 29 to 507 of the family's 1533-position model. The record is from RNAcentral.